Molecule: ribosomal RNA, 390 nt
Filed under: uncultured bacterium
Lineage: Bacteria
Description: bacterial SSU rRNA
Rfam family: Bacterial small subunit ribosomal RNA
Source: RNAcentral
AUUGAACGCUGGCGGCGUGCCUAACACAUGCAAGUCGAGCGGUAACAGGUGUAGCAAUACAUGCUGACGAGCGGCGGACGGGUGAGUAACGCUUGGGAAUCUGCCUGUUAGUGGGGGACAACCCGGGGAAACUCGGGCUAAUACCGCAUACGCACUACGGUGGAAAGCCGGGGACCGCAAGGCCUGGCGCUAACAGAUGAGCCCAAGUCGGAUUAGCUAGUUGGUAGGGUAACGGCCACCAAGGCGACGAUCCGUAACUGGUCUGAGAGGACGACCAGUCACACCGGAACUGAGACACGGUCCGGACUCCUACGGGAGGCAGCAGUGGGGAAUAGUUGGACAAUGGGCGAAAGCCGUGAAUCCAGCGACGCCGCGUGGGUGAAGAAGGCC